AGAGUUGAUCCUGGCUUAGGAUGAACGCUAGCGGCAGGCUUAACACAUGCAAGGUCGAGGGGCAGCGUGGAGUAGCAAUACUCUGACGGCGACCGGCGAAAGGGUGAGUAACGCGUGAGCAACAUGCCCGGUAGUGGAGAAUAGUCGAUGGAAACGUCGCGUAAUACUCCGUAACACAGAGAACCGCAUGAUUUUCUGUUAAUAGAUUUAUCGCUACCGGAUUGGCUCGCGUACCAUUAGCUAGUUGGCGGGGUAACGGCCCACCAAGGCGACGAUGGUUAGGGGUUCUGAGAGGAAGGUCCCCCACAUUGGAACUGAGACACGGUCCAGACUCCUACGGGAGGCAGCAGUGAGGAAUAUUGGACAAUGGCCGAGAGGCUGAUCCAGCCAUGCCGCGUGCGGGAAAGACGGCCCUAUGGGUUGUAAACCGCUUUUGUUGGGGAGCAAUAAGGUCCACGUGUGGAUCGAUGAGAGUACCCAGCGAAUAAGCAUCGGCUAACUCCGUGCCAGCAGCCGC
This 517-nucleotide ribosomal RNA is filed under the name uncultured bacterium. Its description in RNAcentral is "bacterial SSU rRNA". It matches the Rfam family "Bacterial small subunit ribosomal RNA", at positions 8 to 518 of the family's 1533-position model. The record is from RNAcentral.